Molecule: ribosomal RNA, 452 nt
Filed under: uncultured bacterium
Lineage: Bacteria
Description: partial 16S ribosomal RNA
Rfam family: Bacterial small subunit ribosomal RNA
Source: RNAcentral
GUCGAGAAUAGUCUACAAUGGUCGAAAGACUGAUAGUGCGACGCCGCGUGAACGAAGAAGCCCUUCGGGGUGUAAAGUUCUUUUAUAUGUGAGCAAUGCCUUUUAUGUGAAUAGCAUGAGAGGAGCGAUAUUAGCAUAUGAAUAAGCAACGGCUAACUCCGUGCCAGCAGCCGCGGUAACACGGGGGUUGCAAGCGUUGUCCGGAAUUACUAGGCGUAAAGGGCAGGUAGGCGGAUAGAUAAGUUUUUUGUCAAAGGCGACGGCUCACCCGUCGUAUGGCAGGAGAUACUGUUUAUCUGGAAUGCGGUUGGGGAAGACAGAAUUCCUGGUGUAGCGGUGGAAUGCGCAGAGAUCAGGAGGAAUACCGAAGGCGAAGGCAGUCUUCUAAGCCGUUAUUGACGCUAAACUGCGAAGGUGUGGGUAUCAAACAGGAUUAGAUACCCGGGUAGUCC